UGUACGAACUUCCGGUUGUCCUGGCAGCUGUCGCUACCGCUGCUGCUGCUCCUGCUCCUGCCACCUGCCAGGGCCGGGCCUCAGUUCAGGGUUUGGUCACUUCUUCGUUCUCCACUGCGCCCAUGGUUCCUCCUGGAGCCAGGGCGGCGGGCCCGGCGGCUCCCGCGUGGUGAGAGGGCAGUCCAGGGACGAUGAAGGUCCCGCACUGCAGUUGCUGUCUCAGCCACCUCUUGGCCUCCGCCCUCCUGCUGCUGCUAUUGCUGCCAGGUUUGGGAGGGCCUUUGACUUUGCUGUUGCAGGCGGCCGAGGCCGCACCGGACCCUGGGCCUCCGGACCGCGGGCCGCGGACCCUGCCGCCCCUGCCUCCCGGCCCCACUGCCGCCCAGUUGCCGGGCGGCGCCCCAGCACAAGCCGCAGGGCCGCGGGGCGCUGAGGGCAGCAAUGGCAGUAGCCCCCGGGCGGGGCUCUCAGCAGAAGACUCCGGAGGGAAGGCGGGGGAAGAAGACUCAGUGGGUGGGAGGCUUGCUGUGAGCCCCAACCCCGGCGACAAGCCUAUGACCCAGCGGGCCCUGACCGUGUUGAUGGUGGUGAGCGGCGCGGUGCUGGUGUACUUCGUCGUCAGGACAGUCAGGAUGAGAAGAAGAAACCGAAAGACUAGGAGAUAUGGAGUUUUGGACACUAACAUAGAAAACAUGGAGUUGACACCUUUAGAACAAGAUGAUGAGGAUGAUGAUAACACUUUGUUUGAUGCCAAUCAUCCUCGAAGAAAUGAAUGAUGGAGCAGCUAUUUAUAUAGCAACUGUUGAAUGUCUGGCAUUGAUCUGGCCACUUGGGAUACACUACAGCCACAAAACAGAAAAGAAAAAGAAAAACAUCCUGACUUUGUGAAGCUUAACUUCUAGUUGUGAAAAGAUAAGAAUGUGCCUUUUGAUGAGAGGACUUCAUCUUUCUACAAUGAAGAGCAGAAUUUCUAUGUUUAAGGAAUAAGAAGCCACUUUAUCACUGGGGGUGGGGGGGUAUUUAAGUUACAUAUAUUAUGACAAACUUUAAUUUGUUGUUGCAGUAAAUACUGUGUCAUUUUGUUAUGUCUUUGUAUGUAUAGAAGUGCUCUUAAUGGGCUCAGAGUUGUUGGGAGUGAACUGCACUAUAAUAGAAAUCUGUGUGAAAAUUACUCUAAUUACUUUAGAGCAGGGUGUUCUCUGAUCAGUUACUGUUUCUUGCUUACCAUAUUGUAAACAAUUUUAUAUAUUAAUCAGUUAAUGUUGUUUUGUUUGGGUUCUUUUUUUUUUUUUUUUGGAGGGUUGCCCAUUGGUUGUUUUUCUUUUUCUCCAUUAAUUGUUUUUUGCUGAAACUGUAAUCCCAGCAGCAAACUGGUGUGUAAAAAUAAUUUAAGAUUUCUUUACAGAGAUGUAUUCCCCAUUUUUGUGGGAAAAAGAAGCCAACUUUAUUACUUUGCAUUUGGUUUUUUUUAGAUAUUAAUAAAUGAGUUCUGUGCAAAAAAAUAAAUAU
Molecule: non-coding RNA, 1509 nt
Organism: Callorhinus ursinus (northern fur seal)
Lineage: Eukaryota; Metazoa; Chordata; Mammalia; Carnivora; Otariidae
Source: RefSeq, a predicted model, not a curated record